AGGGCAUGUAUUACCAGGCACAGCUUUCCUUGCACUAGGUUUAUGGCAUCUCUUUAAUCACAUUAAACUCUAUUCUCUACAUCCAAACUCCUACACGUCUUCUCCUUGGUUCCCUACCCCAAAACUAAGGUACUUGGAGCUCUUCUUGAUCAUGGCAGGAAGCUCUAUCUCCAUUUCCAUGGAGCUUUUCAUUGGUCCUGAGAGACACCAACCCUUUGAUCCUGAUGGAACCAUACCAUCAAAUCAUCUCAGAAACUUUGAGCACUCUUCAAUUUCAAUGCUUUUCUUGGUUUAUGCAACUUUUGCAAUUCUUCUUGACAGAUUUAAGCCUAAAGCUCAACUUGGUCUAACACAGCUUCUUGGAGCAGUAGCUUUUGGGCAGCAGUUCUUUCUCUUCCAUCUCCACUCAACAGAUCACAAGGGUCUGGAAGGGCAAUACCAUUUGCUUCUCCAAGCUAUUAUAAUUGUUUCUUUAGUCACCACUCUUACGGGAAUUGGGCUUCCAAGGAGUUUCUUGGUUAGCUUUGUGAGGUCUGUUAGUAUUGUUUUUCAAGGAGUUUGGCUCAUAGUGAUGGGCUAUAUGCUAUGGACACCUAAAUUGAUACCUAAAGGUUGUGCACUCUACGAUGAAGAUGAUCACCAUGUGGUUAGAUGCGGCAGCCAAGAAUCAUUGCAUAGGGCUAAAUCAUUAGUAAAUAUUCAAUUCAGCUGGUUACUAAUUGGGAUUGCAAUUUUUGCAAUUUCUUUUUAUCUGGGUCUGGUUGAAAGAUUUGGCAAAAGGGUGGAGCACUAUUCUGCACUACCAAAGGAAUUUGAAGAAAUGAAAGAAGAAGAAGAAGAAG
This 842-nucleotide unclassified non-coding RNA is filed under the name Hevea brasiliensis (rubber tree). The record is from RNAcentral. Lineage: Eukaryota; Viridiplantae; Streptophyta; Magnoliopsida; Malpighiales; Euphorbiaceae.